CUUUCUUUGCUGGCGACCGGCGCACGAGUGAGUAACACGUAUCCAACCUGCCCUUUACUCGGGGAUAGCCUUUCGAAAGAAAGAUUAAUACCCGAUAGCAUAAUGAUUCCGCAUGGUUUCAUUAUUAAAGGAUUCCGGUAAAGGAUGGGGAUGCGUUCCAUUAGGUUGUUGGUGGGGUAACGGCCCACCAAGCCUUCGAUGGAUAGGGGUUCUGAGAGGAAGGUCCCCCACAUUGGAACUGAGACACGGUCCAA
This 254-nucleotide ribosomal RNA is filed under the name uncultured bacterium. RNAcentral describes it as "partial 16S ribosomal RNA". It matches the Rfam family "Bacterial small subunit ribosomal RNA", at positions 79 to 334 of the family's 1533-position model. The record is from RNAcentral.